UGGUUGUACGGCCGAUGUGACUCUCCC
Molecule: small RNA, 27 nt
Filed under: Bombyx mori (domestic silkworm)
Lineage: Eukaryota; Metazoa; Arthropoda; Insecta; Lepidoptera; Bombycidae
Description: ovarian small RNA-35232
Source: RNAcentral